Molecule: non-coding RNA, 78 nt
Filed under: Nitrospirillum amazonense
Lineage: Bacteria; Pseudomonadati; Pseudomonadota; Alphaproteobacteria; Rhodospirillales; Azospirillaceae
Also listed under: 2 other names
Source: RNAcentral
ACCAGAGCCCGUGGUGAUUUGCUGACCGGCUUGCAGACCACGUUAAACAAGCUGCUAAAAGGUCGGGCCGUACAUAAG